GGAGAAGGAAAAAGGAAUGUAAGAGUCAGUUAUGAGAAAUGACAAACGUACCAAUGACAAGCCUCGUUUCAGGACACCAUCCAAAUGAUAUCUGGAGGCCUUUGUAGAAGGCAGAACAACGUCCUUAACAAGAAAAAAAGUAUUUGAGGAUGGUCUAGUUAGUAAACACGAUGUCCAUGAAUUAUCAACAUAAGAGGAUGCCACCAAUUUUUUUUUUCUUACGAUAACAUUUUUUUUUUCUUUUUAUUAAUUUAUCAAGAUCAAACUAACCCAUAAAAUAAUGGAUAUACCAAUUUUUUUCUACGAUAACGUUUUUUAUUUUUAAUCG
Molecule: long non-coding RNA, 328 nt
Filed under: Vigna radiata
Lineage: Eukaryota; Viridiplantae; Streptophyta; Magnoliopsida; Fabales; Fabaceae
Description: long non-coding RNA (VRAD_LNC001017)
Source: RNAcentral